This 849-nucleotide ribosomal RNA is filed under the name Streptomyces coelicoflavus. Its description in RNAcentral is "bacterial SSU rRNA". It matches the Rfam family "Bacterial small subunit ribosomal RNA", at positions 66 to 930 of the family's 1533-position model. The record is from RNAcentral. Lineage: Bacteria; Bacillati; Actinomycetota; Actinomycetes; Kitasatosporales; Streptomycetaceae.
AUGAUUUAUACUUCGGGUGGGGAUUAGUGGCGAACGGGUGAGUAACACGUGGGCAAUCUGCCCUGCACUCUGGGACAAGCCCUGGAAACGGGGUCUAAUACCGGAUACUGACCUGCCAAGGCAUCUUGGCGGGUCGAAAGCUCCGGCGGUGCAGGAUGAGCCCGCGGCCUAUCAGCUUGUUGGUGAGGUAAUGGCUCACCAAGGCGACGACGGGUAGCCGGCCUGAGAGGGCGACCGGCCACACUGGGACUGAGACACGGCCCAGACUCCUACGGGAGGCAGCAGUGGGGAAUAUUGCACAAUGGGCGAAAGCCUGAUGCAGCGACGCCGCGUGAGGGAUGACGGCCUUCGGGUUGUAAACCUCUUUCAGCAGGGAAGAAGCGAAAGUGACGGUACCUGCAGAAGAAGCGCCGGCUAACUACGUGCCAGCAGCCGCGGUAAUACGUAGGGCGCAAGCGUUGUCCGGAAUUAUUGGGCGUAAAGAGCUCGUAGGCGGCUUGUCGCGUCGGUUGUGAAAGCCCGGGGCUUAACCCCGGGUCUGCAGUCGAUACGGGCAGGCUAGAGUUCGGUAGGGGAGAUCGGAAUUCCUGGUGUAGCGGUGAAAUGCGCAGAUAUCAGGAGGAACACCGGUGGCGAAGGCGGAUCUCUGGGCCGAUACUGACGCUGAGGAGCGAAAGCGUGGGGAGCGAACAGGAUUAGAUACCCUGGUAGUCCACGCCGUAAACGGUGGGCACUAGGUGUGGGCAACAUUCCACGUUGUCCGUGCCGCAGCUAACGCAUUAAGUGCCCCGCCUGGGGAGUACGGCCGCAAGGCUAAACUCAAGGAAUUGACGGGGGGCCCGCACAAGC